GCUGGUGGUCACUAAAAUUGAUGUAUAAAAGUAAAAAAUGAUGGCUUCAAAACAGUGUAUAAAUUUGAAAUAGGUUUCCCGGUUUCAUUUAAGAUUAUAACCGUUCUUUUCUGUAUUUGGAUACGCAAACGUCAAAUUAGGAAAAAUCGAUUUUUUUGGCGAACAAAAAAGAUGGCUAUUUUUUUUUAGAACGGACAGGAU
This 201-nucleotide long non-coding RNA is filed under the name Mytilus galloprovincialis (Mediterranean mussel). The record is from RNAcentral. Lineage: Eukaryota; Metazoa; Mollusca; Bivalvia; Mytilida; Mytilidae.